This 497-nucleotide ribosomal RNA is filed under the name uncultured bacterium. RNAcentral's name for it is "partial 16S ribosomal RNA". It matches the Rfam family "Bacterial small subunit ribosomal RNA", at positions 28 to 507 of the family's 1533-position model. The record is from RNAcentral.
GAUGAACGCUGGCGGCGUGCCUAAUACAUGCAAGUCGAGCGAACGGACGAGAAGCUUGCUUUUCUGAUGUUAGCGGCGGACGGGUGAGUAACACGUGGAUAACCUACCUAUAAGACUGGGAUAACUUCGGGAAACCGGAGCUAAUACCGGAUAAUAUUUUGAACCGCAUGGUUCAAAAGUGAAAGACGGUCUUGCUGUCACUUAUAGAUGGAUCCGCGCUGCAUUAGCUAGUUGGUAAGGUAACGGCUUACCAAGGCAACGAUGCAUAGCCGACCUGAGAGGGUGAUCGGCCACACUGGAACUGAGACACGGUCCAGACUCCUACGGGAGGCAGCAGUAGGGAAUCUUCCGCAAAGGGCGAAAGCCUGACGGAGCAACGCCGCGUGAGUGAUGAAGGUCUUCGGAUCGUAAAACUCUGUUAUUAGGGAAGAACAUAUGUGUAAGUAACUGUGCACAUCUUGAAGGUACCUAAUCAGAAAGCCACGGCUAACUACGUG